CAAUAGCGUAUAUUAAAGUUGUUGCGGUUAAAAAGCUCGUAGUUGGAUUUCUGCUGAGGACGACCGGUCCGCCCUCUGGGUGAGUAUCUGGCUCGGCCUCGGCAUCUUCUUGGAGAACGUAACUGCACUUGACUGUGUGGUGCGGUAUCCAGGACUUUUACUUUGAGGAAAUUAGAGUGUUUCAAGCAGGCGCACGCCUUGAAUACAUUAGCAUGGAAUAAUGAGAUAGGACCUUGGUUCUAUUUUGUUGGUUUCUAGAGCUGGGGUAAUGAUUAAUAGGGAUAGUUGGGGGCAUUCGUAUUUAACUGUCAGAGGUGGAAUUCUUGGAUUUGUUAAAGACGGACUACUGCGAAAGCAUUUGCCAAGGAUGUUUUCAUUGA
Molecule: ribosomal RNA, 380 nt
Filed under: uncultured eukaryote
Lineage: Eukaryota
Description: partial 18S ribosomal RNA
Rfam family: Eukaryotic small subunit ribosomal RNA
Source: RNAcentral